RNAcentral lists this long non-coding RNA (576 nucleotides) under Numida meleagris (helmeted guineafowl). Its description in RNAcentral is "lncRNA (ENSNMEG00000001710.1)". The record is from RNAcentral. Lineage: Eukaryota; Metazoa; Chordata; Aves; Galliformes; Numididae.
CUAAGUUGCUUUGGCAAUUUUGGGACAAUGUGUGCCUGAGAAAGUAGAGUAGACUUUUUGGUGUCGCACAGUGGCCUCUGGCAAGGACAGACAUAGUUGGCCUUGUGGCACAGUAGGCAGGGAAGUAAGGACAUGACACGCUUCCUUCCUUACAGCCCAUUCAGGGUGCAACUCCAGCAACGCAGAGAACUAAGGAGCUGCAGUUAGACGCACACGAGCUGAUCAGUGCUUGGUUAUGUACUCGCUCAUCUACUUCUUCACAAAACCAACUGUAAAUUGAUGUGCAGAAGGUAAAAUUUACAAGAGAUGUAUUUCUAUACAUGGAGCUUGUGCAGCCAUAAACAUCGUCGAUUGUGAAGGAAUGCCUUCAGUAGGACCAGUGAAAAACCAUACACUACAACCAACCAACCACAACAACCAACUGGCCACCAAAAGAAUUGCCAGCAGAGCAGUAAUGAUGGGAUGUACGCACAAAAAGUCUUUUCCUGGCUUAUUUGUCAAUCAAUGAAGGUAGAUACUGCAGCCUUCUCUAUAAGGAGGCAAAUUAUGCUUCUUCAUAGACUUCAUAUCCUUGCC